This 916-nucleotide ribosomal RNA is filed under the name Mycetophila alea. RNAcentral describes it as "partial 28S ribosomal RNA". It matches the Rfam family "Eukaryotic large subunit ribosomal RNA", at positions 1073 to 1895 of the family's 3401-position model. Lineage: Eukaryota; Metazoa; Arthropoda; Insecta; Diptera; Mycetophilidae. The record is from RNAcentral.
GUAAGAACCUCAUCUUUCUUGAUCUGAAGAUAUUGGGGUUUAGAUAUAUUGUGCCCAGUGGGCCACUUUUGGUAAGCAGAACUGGCGCUGUGGGAUGAACCAAACGCGAUGUUACGGCGCCUAAAUUAAUGACUCAUAUUGAUACCAUGAAAGGCGUUGGUUGCUUAAAACAGCAGGACGGUGGACAUGGAAGUCGUAAUCCGCUAAGGAGUGUGUAACAACUCACCUGCCGAAGCAACUAGCCCUUAAAAUGGAUGGCGCUCAAGUCAUAUGCCUAUACAUCGCCGCUAACACAUAAGCGCUGCAGUGCCCUGUGCGUGCAGUGCGUCAAGUGUUAGUGAGUAGGAGGGUACAAUGGUGUGCGCAGAAGUGUUUGGUGUGAACCUGCAUGGAGCCGCCAUUGGCACAGAUCUUGGUAGUAGUAGCAAAUAAUCGAACGGAAUCCUCGAGGACUGAAGUGGAGAAGGGUUUCGUGUGAACAGUGGUUGAUCACGAGUUAGUCGGUCCUAAGGACUAGGCGAAAGCUGUUUAAUUUAUGUUACAAUCCAUAUACCGGUGUCGUACAUAAUUUAAUAAGUCCGAAAGGGAAUACGGUUCCAAUUCCGUAACCUGUUGAGUAUACGUUUGUUUAAUUAAAAAUGGGUCUUAUUACACUCAUCCUGGUAACAGGAACAACCAUAGAGAAGCCUUCGAGAGAUACUGGAAGAGUUUUCUUUUCUGUUGAACAGUCGUAAGUGCAUGGAAUUCUUUCACAGAGAGAUAUGCACUAUGGACUGGAAGAGCAUGACAUUUACUGUUGUGUCAGUAUUUUCUCCUUGGACCUUGAAAAUCUAUGGUGGGGCCACGCAAACAUCUCAACAGACCGUACCGAUAUCCGCAGCCGGUCUCCAAGGUGAAGAGUCUCUAGUCGAUGAGA